RNAcentral lists this ribosomal RNA (202 nucleotides) under uncultured bacterium. RNAcentral describes it as "partial 16S ribosomal RNA". It matches the Rfam family "Bacterial small subunit ribosomal RNA", at positions 28 to 232 of the family's 1533-position model. The record is from RNAcentral.
GACGAACGCUGGCGGCGUGCUUAACACAUGCAAGUCGAGCGGAAAGGCCCUUCGGGUACUCGAGCGGCGAACGGGUGAGUAACACGUGGGUAACCUGCCCUUCACUCUGGGAUAACUCCGGGAAACCGGGGCGUAAUACCGGAUACGACCACUUUAGGCAUCUUCGGUGGUGGAAAGUUUUUACGGUUGGAGGAGUGGACCC